Long non-coding RNA from Oncorhynchus keta (chum salmon), 350 nucleotides. RefSeq lists it as uncharacterized. The record is from RefSeq and is a predicted model, not a curated record. The transcript is spliced from 3 exons. NCBI's taxonomy places the organism in Eukaryota, Metazoa, Chordata, Actinopteri, Salmoniformes, Salmonidae.
GUGUAGGUAGCCCACCAGUAAUUUAACCUUGACUAGUACAGGUGUAGUUAGCCCACCGGUAAUUUAACCAUGACUAGUACAGGUGUAGUUAGCCCACCGGUAAUUUAACCAUGACUAGUACAGGUGUAGUUAGCCCACCGGUAAUUUAACCAUGACUAGUACAGGUGUAGAUAGCCCACCGGUAAUUUAACCUUGACUAGUACAGGUGUAGAUAGCCCACCGGUAAUUUAACCUUGACUAAUACAGGUGUAGAUAGCCCACCGGUAAUUUAACCAUGACUAGUACAGGUGUAGAUAGCCCACCAGUAAUUUAACCAUGACUAGUACAGGUGUAGUUAGCCCACCAGUAAU